GGCAGAGUGGUGGAAAGAACGGGAACAAGAAGGAUAAUUGAGGUUGAUGGGGUUGAUGCAAAUUAAAUAAAUAAAUAUGAAAUUUGAGAUCUUAAUGGCAUUGAAAAUACAGAGGUAGUUUAGAUGCAAUAAACUGGAAUGCUGGCAGCAAACAAGUCAGUGAUUCAGCAGUAUAGCAUUGAACUCACACUCUCCUGCUUGGCAUCCCCACAUCUACUUGCUAAUACAUACAAGAUCUUUUGCAAAAUACAAGCAAUAUGCAAAAUAAGUCAAAUUGCAAAAACAAAUGUUUAAUUUUUCUUCUACAGCCUUGCAAAAAAAGAUGAAGAUGUUCAAGCUAAUUCAGUGUCUAUGUGAUCCACAGCAUUCAUGACUCAGUUUGUCUUUUUCCUGAACAUAAUUGGAUAAAUUCAGAUGAAAUUUGUUUCCAUGGCCAUUUGCCUGCAAUUGUGGCGCAGCCUGGCCCCUUUAAUAUUAUUGAUUUAUCUGCAUAAUUAAAGAAAACCACAUCAACCUUCAUGACAACAAGAUGUUUGAAUGCUUACUUGGCUUUGGCAGAGUUCUAAAGAAUUUAUUCCAUUCUAUUUUGCUUCUUUUUUUAAAAUUUUUACCUGUUGGGAACCGGCGUUUGGUUCCUAUUUGUAUUCUGUUGUUGGUGGUUCCCCAUUUCAUCCACCAGAGGGCGCUUGAGGCUGCACUGAGGGUGCCUGUGGUUCAGCACACCUGUUGUUCAUCUUCUAAUCAUCCUGAAGCUUAAGAGGAGCGGACUGCCUGCACUUCAGUGCCUGAGUGUUUGCCAGUGAUGGUGUUUUCCUCGUGACACUGAGCAUUCUCUUUGUGAAGACCUAGCUCUGGCCUUUUGGAUUUGCAUUCCUCGUGACGCCGUGGAAUUUACUCACUGGUUGCCCGAGCCCAACAGUCAGCUCCUCAACCAGGUCACAAGCAGUUAUCGGAGUUUUUCCCCAGCUGGCAGUCAGAUCGCUCCUCUUUCUUCCUCCACGCUCAAAACUUACCUGUCCGCCCUCCAACGCAGCCUCCGCUACCCUACCCAACUGUGUUGCCCUUGGAAACCUGGACCGCCUCACAGCCGCAACCAAGGUGGACCAAGACCCGAACCGGCAGGUACCCUCUCCCAGACUGAAUCUACCAUCUCACGAAGUAAGACCAGUCCAACUCUGUUCACCACUCACUUUUCCCAUUACCACAAACUCAUCUCCCUCUGUUAGUGAGCAGACGACCCCGUGAGCCCGUUCCUGGAUUCAUUCUCUCUCAAAUCAUUUUAUCAUUUUGUGCAAAUAAAAUCUCAUUUAACUGAUCACUAUUCUCCUGUGCUUGUUCUGCAUGUUUAAGAACUUAAAACCCAUUAUGAUAUUACCUCUGCAUGUUAUAACAUUUAAUAUAUGAAGAAACUACAAUACUACAUUAACACAAAUAAUACUUCCAUAUCAAUAAAUGGAUAGGCACCACUGUAUUCAAGAUAAAUACAGUGGUGCCUAAUGUUCAUAAUAAAAUCAUGAACAUUUUCAAUAGCUGGAGGGUCAAAAACAAGUAAUAGAUGGAAUGCAUUCCAGUGCAACUGAGGUUUUAUUAAGUUAUAAAAUUUUUAGUUAAAACUGACUGAAAAGUUUGUAAGUUUUGUGACAUUUAGGAUGCAACUAAUCUUACAGGUAAUUUAUUCUCCACAUAACAGAAUAGAAAAUGUAUUACUUCCACAUCUAUAAUUUUGAACAAUUAAUUCAUGAUUAGACCUCAAUAAACAAUGCAAAAUAAAACAACGAAAAAACAAAAUAAAUUUUCUGUUAAAUCCACGGGGAUCCAUGAAAAUCCAUGAAAAAGUCCAUGGAUAAACAGCCUUCUUGGGGUCAAGUACACAUUUCUGAUAAAAGCAAAAGCCAUUCUGUUCAGCCCAGACCAUGAAAGGUUUAUUAAAUGACUCUUAACACAUGGCAUUAAUAAAUAAUGCACCUCAUGUGAUUUAGUGGCAGGGCCAGACUGAACGACGUUUCAGCAAAAAGUCUGUAGCUGAGACACAGAGAAGCUGACGGGGCAGAACUGGCUGCUGCAAUAUGAAACGACAGAGAUGUGGGUCGACCUCAGGUGAUUAUCUGCCUCUGCUUUAGCAAUAUCAGAAUAAGGUCAAACAAUAUUAGCAGUGAAUACGUUGCAGUUGUUUUAGGUAAAGAGUAUUGGCCAAACUGAAUCAGUUUGGGGAGGAAAGAACAGAGGCGUUGAUGAAAACCUCAAUAUACAAUCAGUCAGGUUGGAUUUUUUAGGUCCGAUCUAAACUAAUCAAGUAGGAGCUAAACAAAAAGCACUAGUAGAUUGUUGGACGUUGGAUUUGAUGAUUUGGUGCUAGCUAGUAGAAUCGUUAGCAAUUUCAUAAUUUGAAGCAAUAAAUGCGUGACAGCCAUGUGAGAUAUUGAACUUGGGGCUACUUGGAGGCCCCUGAAUUUUCAUAACUUCAAGGGGGUGUUUUUGUAAAGUUCAACUGGAACACAAAAGCUCUCUUCCCCCUUUGAGGUUGCUUGAAGGCAGAAAUGACAAUAAAUUUCAGACCGAAGCUGCAGCAGAAGAAAAGAACUGCUGAAGACAUGGAAGAUUGUCUGGCUGAGAGCUGUGAACCUCAGGCUUGAAGGCAUGUGGAUAUUAAAAAUGCAUUUUGCAUCUUUAAUAUCAGACUCUCUUAAGAUCAGAGAGUCUGACCUCUGACCUUAAUAGUGAGGCUGAGAUUGCAGUUUGAUGUGAGUGAACAAUACCCUGAGAUGAAAGUAUAAUAUUCAAUACUUCUAUAAAACAUACGCAGUGGAAAUUCAGUGUGAAUUUAUAGUCUGAAAGAAUUCCUUUAUUUAAUUUAGACUGAAAAACAAAAUUGGUUUCCCUAAAUCACUUUUAUUGAUGGGUGAAGCUUUUAUUUAUUUAUAUAGGUUUAAAUAAAUUUUUGUUUUACUGUAUUUUAUUUCCCUUUUGCUGAAAACAUUGCUUUCAUUUUCAUAUUUACCAUACACAUCACAAUAUCUACAAUAAUUUUAAAACAACCUGCUGACUUGAUAUUCAAUAGUAGUUGUUCAAAACUUAAAAAGACAAUUUAAUUCAUUUAAAUUACUAACAUAAAAUGUAAGAUCAUCAUUAUUGGUCAUUUAGAUCAUUUUUUCCUCCAAAAACAUUUGAACAGUCUGCUACAGAAGGAAGCAGAUUUCUCAACAUUGUGCGUCUAAUUUUUAGAAAAGAGACAUUAAUUGACUUUAUGAGAAGAAAAGGUCAUUUUAUUUAUUCAUACAGUUGCAAUAAGCCAUUGAUUAGUAUUUACAGUGAUUGAAUGUUUCUGUGAAUAGGAUGUCUAGUGGGAGACUUCCAUACAGUAAUUAUACAUAUAUAAUGCUGUACCCCUGUAGCAGGGGUCUUUAUCACCCCCAAGAUACUUCUGGAACAUUGGAAAAUAGAAGAAAAAAAAAACACUAAGCAAUGAAAAAAUGCAGUAAUUAAAAACGUUUAGUAGAUUUAACUGCUUUAUUUAAAGUUAUCUGACAAGAACAAAUCUCUACCAUCCAACUUUAUAAAAGCCAGUGGCUUAGCAUGGCUCUCAGGAGGUUGUCUGGCAGUCAAAGUUGUGAGCUAUGCAGCAGAAUUUUUUGUUUCAAUACACUCCAUUUUGCUCAGGUAUAAUCACAUAUCCAUGAAUUCAAAAGAAUAGUGUAUGCAAUUUACUGUCUUUGUUGGUUUGUCUGCAUUAAAAGUGAGGUACAAACUUUUGGCCAAUAACAGCGAUUUCUUCAUUUUUUAUGUUAAUGGGUUUUUCUGUCUGCGUUGUUAAAUUUGUUCUGUUGACAAAUCGAUUUUUCUUACUUGGCAUGUUUAUUUAACAUGAUUGAAGCAACUAGGAUUUGUUACCUGGAAUAAGCCCAUAACACUAGAGUUUUGGGUCUUGGGUAAUAAAAAUCCUACUGCAAGAAAAUCUAAAAAUUGAGAUUGAAUUUUUCUCCUUUGUAGAAAAAAAGAUUGAUGGCAUUUUGAUUACAGUCCCUCAACAUAGAUUGCUUCAAGGCACAAAGGUCAUGUGAUAAAGGGGCCAGACUGCAGCUUUCAUUUUAGGUAAGGAUCAUUAAUAAAUCUGCUGUCCUCAUAAAUAUUUUUCAUGUUUUCUCCUGGAAAUCAAGUUUCCCAGCAUUUGUACUUUGCAGGAAAAAUAUUUUCCAGAUUCUUUUUUGAUCCCAAGUUAAAUAAAAUAUUUUUUUGUCUGUG
Xiphophorus hellerii (green swordtail) is the source of this 4239-nucleotide long non-coding RNA. RefSeq lists it as uncharacterized. The record is from RefSeq and is a predicted model, not a curated record. The transcript is spliced from 2 exons. Lineage: Eukaryota; Metazoa; Chordata; Actinopteri; Cyprinodontiformes; Poeciliidae.